This 587-nucleotide ribosomal RNA is filed under the name uncultured bacterium. RNAcentral describes it as "bacterial SSU rRNA". It matches the Rfam family "Bacterial small subunit ribosomal RNA", at positions 338 to 917 of the family's 1533-position model. The record is from RNAcentral.
CCUACGGGAGGCAGCAGUGGGGAAUAUUGGACAAUGGGGGCAACCCUGAUCCAGCCAUGCCGCGUGUGUGAAGAAGGCCCUCGGGUUGUAAAGCACUUUCAGCGAGGAAGAACGCCUAGCGGUUAAUACCCGCUAGGAAAGACAUCACUCGCAGAAGAAGCACCGGCUAACUCCGUGCCAGCAGCCGCGGUAAUACGGAGGGUGCAAGCGUUAAUCGGAAUUACUGGGCGUAAAGCGCGCGUAGGUGGCUUGAUAAGCAGGUUGUGAAAGUCCCGGGCUCAACCUGGGAACGGCAUCCGGAACUGUCAAGCUAGAGUGCAGGAGAGGAAGGUAGAAUUCCCGGUGUAGCGGUGAAAUGCGUAGAGAUCGGGAGGAAUACCAGUGGCGAAGGCGGCCUUCUGGACUGACACUGACACUGAGGUGCGAAAGCGUGGGUAGCAGACAGGAUUAGAUACCCUGGUAGUCCACGCCGUAAACGAUGUCGACCAGCCGUUGGGUGCCUAGCGCACUUUGUGGCGAAGUUAACGCGAUAAGUCGACCGCCUGGGGAGUACGGCCGCAAGGUUAAAACUCAAAUGAAUUGACGGA